Peromyscus maniculatus bairdii (prairie deer mouse) is the source of this 720-nucleotide non-coding RNA. NCBI's taxonomy places the organism in Eukaryota, Metazoa, Chordata, Mammalia, Rodentia, Cricetidae. The record is from RefSeq and is a predicted model, not a curated record.
CGCCUUGAAGAGAAAGAAGGAGGAGGAGGAGAAAAGGGGGAAGAAGAUGAAGAAAAGGAAGAGGAAGAAGAUAGGAGAAAGAGGAAGAAAAAAAUGUAUUCCAUAAGGUUCCACCAUUUCCCAUGCCCCUGUGCCUCUCUCCAUGAUCACAAUGGCAUUAACUGUUGUAGGCAAGGUGAAACAGUUGGCACAAUGUGUAUCCAACAGUGCUGGCACUCAAACAUGCAGUGGAAAUUUCAGUUCUACAACAAGCCAGCUGAUUCCACGAGCCACGUGAGGAGGGUUAUAUGAUACAGCUGGCUCAUUCAGGGCUGACCACUCAGCAGUUACUCAGUCUCUGCACUCCGACCAACCGUGGAGCAAAAAUAAGGUUAUCUGAUGAGGACUGAGUUUCAUUACAGAGAUACCUGGCCAUGCAUGUUAAUUGCUGCCCUUUCGCAAAAGCUGAGAAACACAGUCAGCCUAGAUGUUCAUCAACUGACGAAUGGAUAAUGAAAUCAUAGUAUAUAUGCUUAGAGGUGUUUUUGUAAAAUCCUUCUGGUGUAUGGAAGGGUUACGUGUGUGUAUGGUGCACAGUGCUGGGCAGGAAGCAUAGUCAACACUUGAUGAUCAGUUGUUGUUGUUGUUGUUGUUUUUCAUACCCUUUCUAUUGCCUUUGUUCUUCCUGAAGAAAGGAGAAAUUAAGGAGAUCUUGGAAUAAUAAAAUCACACUUAUUUUGA